RNAcentral lists this ribosomal RNA (543 nucleotides) under uncultured Campylobacter sp. Its description in RNAcentral is "bacterial SSU rRNA". It matches the Rfam family "Bacterial small subunit ribosomal RNA", at positions 649 to 1188 of the family's 1533-position model. Lineage: Bacteria; Pseudomonadati; Campylobacterota; Epsilonproteobacteria; Campylobacterales; Campylobacteraceae. The record is from RNAcentral.
GGGGAGAGGCAGAUGGAACUCUUGGUGUAGGAGUAAAAUCCGUAGAUAUCAAGAAGAAUACCUAUUGCGAAAGCGAUCUGCUAGAACCUAACUGACACUGAUGCACGAAAGCGUGGGGAGCAAACAGGAUUAGAUACCCUGGUAGUCCACGCCCUAAACGAUGUAUACCGGUUGUUGCUUUGCUAGUCAAGGCAGUAAUCCAGCUAACGCAUUAAGUAUACCGCCUGGGGAGUACGGUCGCAAGAUUAAAACUCAAAGGAAUAGACGGGGACCCGCACAAGCGGUGGAGCAUGUGGUUUAAUUCGAAGAUACGCGAAGAACCUUACCCGGACUUGAUAUCUAACAAAUCAUCCAGAGAUGGAAGAGUGUCUGCUUGCAGAAAUGUUAAGACAGGUGCUGCACGGCUGUCGUCAGCUCGUGUCGUGAGAUGUUGGGUUAAGGUCCCGCAACGAGCGCAACCCACGUAUUUAGUUGCUAACAGUUAGGCUGAGUUCUCUAAAUAGACUGCCUUCGUAAGGAGGAGGAAGGUGUGGACGACGUCAA